This 253-nucleotide ribosomal RNA is filed under the name uncultured bacterium. RNAcentral's name for it is "partial 16S ribosomal RNA". It matches the Rfam family "Bacterial small subunit ribosomal RNA", at positions 524 to 776 of the family's 1533-position model. The record is from RNAcentral.
UACAGAGGGUGCGAGCGCUAAUCGGAAUUACUGGGCGUAAAGCGCGCGUAGGCGGCUUUUCAAGUCGAUUGUGAAAUCCCCGGGCUUAACCUGGGAACUGCAGUCGAGACUGUCUAGCUAGAGUAUGGGAGAGGGAAGUGGAAUUUCAGGUGUAGCGGUGAAAUGCGUAGAUAUCUGAAGGAACAUCAGUGGCGAAAGCGACUUCCUGGACCAAUACUGACGCUCAUGUGCGAAAGCGUGGGGAGCAAACAGG